UGGGGAAUAUUGGACAAUGGGCGCAAGCCUGAUCCAGCAAUGCCGCGUGAGUGAGGAAGGCCUUAGGGUUGUAAAGCUCUUUCGCACGCGACGAUGAUGACGGUAGCGUGAGAAGAAGCCCCGGCUAACUUCGUGCCAGCAGCCGCGGUAAUACGAAGGGGGCGAGCGUUGUUCGGAUUUACUGGGCGUAAAGGGCGCGCAGGCGGCUCCACAAGUCAGGCGUGAAAGCCCCGGGCUCAACCUGGGAAUUGCGUUUGGGACUGUGGGGCUAGAGAUCGGGAGAGGAGAGUGGAAUUCCCAGUGUAGAGGUGAAAUUCGUAGAUAUUGGGAAGAACACCGGUGGCGAAGGCGGCUCUCUGGACCGAUACUGACGCUGAGGCGCGAAAGCGUGGGGAGCAAACAG
Molecule: ribosomal RNA, 403 nt
Filed under: uncultured bacterium
Lineage: Bacteria
Description: bacterial SSU rRNA
Rfam family: Bacterial small subunit ribosomal RNA
Source: RNAcentral